GACGAACCGUCCAAACGUUAUUCGGAAUCACUGGGCUUAAAGGGCGCGUAGGCGGGUUCGCAAGUCUGUGGUGAAAGCCUCCAGCUUAACUGGAGAAGUGCCGUGGAUACUGCGAAUCUUGAGGAGGGUAGGGGCGUCUGGAACGGUCGGUGGAGCGGUGAAAUGCGUUGAUAUCGACCGGAACUCCGGUGGCGAAGGCGAGGCGCUGGACCCUUUCUGACGCUGAGGCGCGAAAGCCAGGGGAGCAAACGGG
RNAcentral lists this ribosomal RNA (253 nucleotides) under uncultured bacterium. RNAcentral describes it as "partial 16S ribosomal RNA". It matches the Rfam family "Bacterial small subunit ribosomal RNA", at positions 524 to 776 of the family's 1533-position model. The record is from RNAcentral.